Molecule: long non-coding RNA, 202 nt
Filed under: Nicotiana benthamiana
Lineage: Eukaryota; Viridiplantae; Streptophyta; Magnoliopsida; Solanales; Solanaceae
Description: long non-coding RNA (NBEN_LNC010302)
Source: RNAcentral
CUACAUCUCCGCAUUUGCUUCAUCCGUUCAUCUUUCUUUCUCUUCUGAAAAGCUUUGCCUACUCAUCGUCUUUUUCUUCAAUCUCUAUUUCAUAGUCUUCCAUCUUCAGGUACUGAGUUACCCUAUAAGUCCAGCACCAGAUAACGUCCUGUCAAUCUAAAUUUUUGAAAUGUUACAUUAGAAGACUAUACAUCGAUAAGCC